CCCUCAGAUGUUCUGGGCUGCACGCGCGCUACACUGAAAUGUCAUAGAAAGUUUACCUAUCCUUGACGGGAAGGGUAAUCUCGAAUACAUUUCGUGAUGGGGAUAGAUCAUUGAAAUUUUUGAUCUUCAACGAGGAAUUCCUAGUAAGCACAAGUCAUUAGCUUGUGCUGAUUACGUCACUGCUUUUUGUACACACCGCCCGUCGCUCCUACCGAUUGAGUGUUCCGGCGAACCAUUCGGACGAACGGUACAAGGCAACUUGUUACUGUUUGAAAGUCUUGCAAGCCAUAACACUUAGAGGAAGGAGAAGUCGUAACA
RNAcentral lists this ribosomal RNA (318 nucleotides) under uncultured eukaryote. RNAcentral's name for it is "partial 18S ribosomal RNA". It matches the Rfam family "Eukaryotic small subunit ribosomal RNA", at positions 1470 to 1796 of the family's 1831-position model. The record is from RNAcentral.